CUACGGGGGGCUGCAGUAAGGAAUAUUGCGCAAUGGAGGCAACUCUGACGCAGCCAUGCCGCGUGCAGGAAGAAGGCCUUAUGGGUCGUAAACUGCUUUUAUUUAGGAAUAAACCCCCGAACGUGUUCGGGGCUGAAGGUACUAGACGAAUAAGCACCGGCUAACUCCGUGGCCAGCAGCCGCGGUAAUACGGAGGGUGCAAGCGUUAUCCGGAUUUAUUGGGUUUAAAGGGUGCGCAGGCGGGCUAUUAAGUCAGUGGUGAAAUCCCGGGGCUCAACUCCGGAACUGCCAUUGAUACUGAUAGUCUUGAGUUUGGUUGAAGUGGGCGGAAUGUAGCAUGUAGCGGUGAAAUGCAUAGAUAUGCUACAGAACACCAAUCGCGAAGGCAGCUCACUAAGCCAAAACUGACGCUCAUGCACGAAAGCGUGGGGAUCAAACAGGAUUAGAUACCCGCGUAGUC
This 460-nucleotide ribosomal RNA is filed under the name uncultured bacterium. Its description in RNAcentral is "partial 16S ribosomal RNA". It matches the Rfam family "Bacterial small subunit ribosomal RNA", at positions 339 to 795 of the family's 1533-position model. The record is from RNAcentral.